RNAcentral lists this transfer RNA (55 nucleotides) under Strongyloides cebus. RNAcentral describes it as "tRNA-Tyr". Lineage: Eukaryota; Metazoa; Nematoda; Chromadorea; Rhabditida; Strongyloididae. The record is from RNAcentral.
AAGAGUUUAGUUUAUUUAAAAUGUUGGACUGUAAAUCCAAAGAAUUUAAUUCUUG